ACGGCUCAGUAACACGUGGAUAACAUGCCCUUAGGCGGAGGAUAAUCUCGGGAAACUGAGGAUAAUACUCCAUAAAUCAUGGAUGCUGGAAUGCUACAUGGUUCAAAGUUCCGGCGCCUAAGGAUUGGUCUGCGGCCUAUCAGGUAUUAGUGGGUGUAACGGACCCACUACCCUAUGACGGGUAUGGGCCUUGAAAGAGGGAGCCCAAAGAUGGAAUCCGAAACACAAUUCCAGGCCCUACGGGGCGCAGCAGUCGCGAAAACUUCACACUGGGGGCAACCCCGAUGAGGGAAUUCCUAGUGCUAGCGCGUUUAGCGUUAGCUUUUCUUCAGUAUAGAUAGCUGGAGGAAUAAGGGCUGGGUAAGACGGGUGCCAGCCGCCGCGGUAAUACCCGCAGCCCAAGUGGUGGUCGAUAUUAUUGAUUCUAAAACGUUCGUAGCCGGUUCGCUAAAUCCCUGGGUAAAUCGGUCAGCUCAACUUGACCGACUUCCGGGGAGACUGGCGAACUUGGGACCGGGAGAGGCUAGAGGUACUUCUGGGGUAGGGGUAAAAUCCUGUAAUCCUGGAAGGACCACCGGUGGCGAAGGCGUCUAGCUAGAACGGAUCCGACGGUGAGGAACGAAGCCCUGGGGCGCAAACGGGAUUAGAUACCCCGGUAGUCCAGGGUGUAAACGCUGCAGACUUGGUGUUGGAGGCUCUUAGGGAGCGUCCAGUGCCGGAGAGAAGUUGUUAAGUCUGCUACUUGGGGAGUACGUCCGCAAGGAUGAAACUUAAAGGAAUUGGCGGGGGAG
This 791-nucleotide ribosomal RNA is filed under the name uncultured euryarchaeote. RNAcentral describes it as "bacterial SSU rRNA". It matches the Rfam family "Archaeal small subunit ribosomal RNA", at positions 85 to 876 of the family's 1478-position model. Lineage: Archaea; Methanobacteriati; Methanobacteriota. The record is from RNAcentral.